CCUACGGGAGGCAGCAGUGAGGAAUAUUGGUCAAUGGGCGCGAGCCUGAACCAGCCAAGUCGCGUGAGGGCUGAAGGUUCUAUGGAUCGUAAACCUCUUUUAUAAGGGAAUAAAGUGUGGGACGUGUCCUAUUUUGUAUGUACCUUAUGCAUAAGGAUCGGCUAACUCCGUUCCAGCAGCCGCUGUAAUACGGAGGCUCCGAGCGUUAUCCGGAUUUAUUGGGUUUAAAGGGUGCGUAGGCGGCCUUUUAAGUCAGCGGUGAAAGUCUUGGGCUCAACCAUAGAAUUGCCGUUGAAACUGGGGGGCUUGAGUAUGUUUGAGGCAGGCGGAAUGCGUGGUGUAGCGGUGAAAUGCUUAGAUAUCACGCAGAACUCCGAUUGCGAAGGCAGCUUACUAAGCCAUAACUGACACUGAAGCACGAAAGCGUGGGGAUCAAACAGGAUUAGAUACCCGUGUAGUC
This 460-nucleotide ribosomal RNA is filed under the name uncultured bacterium. Its description in RNAcentral is "partial 16S ribosomal RNA". It matches the Rfam family "Bacterial small subunit ribosomal RNA", at positions 338 to 795 of the family's 1533-position model. The record is from RNAcentral.